This 274-nucleotide ribosomal RNA is filed under the name uncultured bacterium. Its description in RNAcentral is "partial 16S ribosomal RNA". It matches the Rfam family "Bacterial small subunit ribosomal RNA", at positions 523 to 796 of the family's 1533-position model. The record is from RNAcentral.
AUACGGAGGAUCCAAGCGUUAUCCGGAAUCAUUGGGUUUAAAGGGUCCGUAGGCGGGCAAUUAAGUCAGAGGUGCAAGUUUGCGGCUCAACCGUAAAAUUGCCUUUGAAACUGGUUGUCUUGAAUUAUUAUGAAGUGGUUAGAAUAAGUAGUGUAGCGGUGAAAUGCAUAGAUAUUACUUAGAAUACCAAUUGCGAAGGCAGAUCACUAAUAAUAUAUUGACGCUGAUGGACGAAAGCGUGGGGAGCGAACAGGAUUAGAUACCCUAGUAGUCC